This is a long non-coding RNA of Oncorhynchus tshawytscha (Chinook salmon), 1030 nucleotides long. The record is from Ensembl. Lineage: Eukaryota; Metazoa; Chordata; Actinopteri; Salmoniformes; Salmonidae.
UGAGAACGUCUUCUCAGUCAAUUUACCUGGUAAAAUAACGGAUUAAAAAAAUACCUAACUAGGCUACACAGACCAAUGGCGGAGCCACUAAAAGAGAUUCAUUACAGGGCUCCGGAGUGGCGCCUCGGUGCAAGAGGCGUCCCUACAGUCCCUGGUUCGAAUACAGGCUGUAUGACAUCCGGCCGUGAUUGGGAGUCCCAUAGGGCGGCGCACAAUUGGCCCAGCGUCGUCCGGGGUUUUACGGUCAUUGUAAAUAAGAAUUUGGUUAAAUACAAUUACUCAAAAUGACGGCGCCGAAGCAGACACGACUUUUCACAGGGAAAUAGGCUAAUGUUGGUUGAUGAUUCGGACACGCACUUUGAAAAGCGAUGAUGUCGAGAUUGUUCGGGACUUCUCUAUUUGAACCCCGGACUGCUCGGUGAACCUCACUGAACUGGAUCGGGGUCUUCAAGGACCAAAAACUUUGCUUUGCCAGCUGACGAGCAGGCCCAAGAUCUUCUCUUCAAAGUGCAGAUGCACAAGGUGACAUCGUUUUAAGACUUCUGCCAGUGGUCCUCCCACACCAGUCUACAAGAUUGGCAGGAAGACAUUCCGACCCAGCUUCUAAGAGACCAGAAAGUCCUUCAUUGACUUGCAGCCUGUAAAUUUAAAUAGUCGAUAGGGAGAUGGAUGGGGAAAUUAGAUUAUAGCGUUUGUAAGCCUUGAAUGAACAGAACACCAUUCCAAUAUCUGUUAUGCAGAACGGCACACUCCAAGACAUUGUUGUGUAAAUUAACCUAUAGAUACUGUAGGCAGGCCCCUGAGUAUGGUACAGCCCAUUGCGCAUAUGUUAAAUUGCCUACUUAUAACAUGACAACGGCUGUAUUCAUUUUUACAUUUUUAUUAAUUCUAUAAACAUUUUGUAUGUGCUUGGUUGGUCACUUUUAACAUACUUCCAUGGUGUCUUAAUUAAAUACACUUUCAUCUAAAUGUAAAAUGUUAGCAUGAACAGAUACACUGUCGCAUGGAAGGUACGUCAUGAUUAUCAGCC